UAUAUCAUCAACUAUGAUGUUUUAUAAUGUUAAGGUAUAUCCUGUGAUGGUUGAAGUAUGUCAUGUACUACUUGCCUUUGAUUUUAUAGGGGAUUAUACUCAAGAUAUUCCAUGAUUCUCAGAAGAGACUUGGGACUUUCAAACAUUGUUGUGGUGUGUUAGACUAUCGGGACUUUUGGAGUUGGAGUUAAUAUAUUUUGUAUAGUGUAAUGCUAGAGCUUGUCAUAAUCCCAUUGCCUCAUGUGUUUAAACAAGACUAUGAAUGCCAUAGACUGGAAUGUGAUUGGUGAGAUAUGUUUAGCCUAUGAGAAGUAGUUUGCAAUAAUCAGGCAUGUGGCCUUGUUGGGGAAGGUAUAGCUUUCCUACAGGAAGUGUGUCAGAUUGUGUCACAAUGGAGGCAGUGCUUUGAAAUGUCAGGAAAUUGUCAAUUCUGGGCAGAGUGAUCCAGACCAUACUCCCGGCUGGCUGUAAAAGAGAGUCUCCUAACUGGAUAAAGCUGUAGAACCCUUGGCUCCUCCAGCACCAUGGCUUCCUAUAUGCUGUCAGGCUUCCUGACAUGAUCGUAAUAUUAGGAAUUUACUAGCAGGGCUGAUGGUAUUGCUAUGGUAGGUCUGACCAUAGUUUUGUUUGAAGGAAUAAUUAUUUUAGGAUUUUGUAAUGGAGGGGAGGCUUUAAAUGGGGCUUAUCGGUCCAUAGGAUUAGAAGCAUGGAAGACAGUGUUGCUGAGAGUGAUUUCAACUGUGGGGGCCUGUCUCUAAGAAACUUCAAAGGAGAAGACUCAUAAACCUGAAUCUCCAAAGUGUCCCCAGAUAAUAUUAUGAUGACAAUCAUCCAUGAGCCAUCAAUGUCCAUAUUGAAACCUACAAUCAUUGUUGCUUCUGAAGAGAUUUCUAACGUCAAGGAUCCCUGAAGCCAGCAGAAUGUACGCUGAAGUUCACAGUCAAUACUGCAACCUCAGGUCAUGUUGAGAGUUCCACAUAUAGUGAGUUGAGGUCACAUAUAUACUGGCAACAGACAACAGUGCAUGUAUGUGAUACUUCAGGCCUCAGCAGCCAUGAUAUCAUUGAUCUCCACUGCCUCACGAGAGCACAUUAAUAUGAGUGUCUCCAACUGCCAGUAAAAUCAUUACAGAUAUCAGUUAUCCAUGAUCCUGUCCAACUUGUGAGAAGGGUUCUGCCAGCUGUAACCAUUUUUAUGUCAUGUUGUAUCCUGUCACUAAACAAGAGGUUUCUGUUCAUGGCCAUACCUGCUAUCUGAAACUAUCUUAAUGUCCCUGAUAUUCAUGGCAACUGACACCAUGGUGUAUCUCUGAUCCUUCCUGCAACUUUGGAUCAGUUGAUAACAUGAGAAAUACCGGCAUCCAAAGAAAAUACAUUGAUAUUACUCAUAUACAAUGCCACUGGUAACAAUACUGAGAUCCAUAGUCAGUGUUGUGCUGGAAAAGAUCCCUGAUGUCUUAGAUCCCAAUGCCAGAAGAGUCUAUUAUAAAGAUCAUUGUCAGUAGUGCUGCCUACUGUCAUAAUGAGGUAAGUACUGUGUUUUGUUAAUGAAGACACCAUUGAUGCCAGUGAUCCUACCUGCAACCUGAAGUUAUGUUAAGGUCACUGCUGUUUGAAGUGAUCAGCAAUCAAGAUGGAGUCCAUUGUUAAUAUCACUGAAGGUGAUCUUGGCGAUGGCUAUGAUCUACAUUGUUUCUGGAGAACCUGAUGAAUGCCAAGGUCCAUACUGAUGCAGAACGUCAUUUUGAGGUAAUUGUUUUGAGCUGGCACUGGAGAUCUGAUUGAUAGCUGAGAUUCGACCCAUCACAGUAAAUUCAGUUGAAGUUUCUGAUGCAUGCAUGUAUCCUCCGAUGUUGAUCAUGCAAAGUAUUUUGAUGCCAGCAAUCCUACCUGUAUCAUGAAGCUCUGUUGAUGUCAGUGAUGUAUUCUGUGUCCAGAAAUAAUGAAGGAGUACAUUUUUCAUAUUGGUGAUGGAGUCUCUGAUGAUGGCUAAGAUAUGUGUUGCUGUUCGAGCACCUGAUAAAUUCCAAGGUCCUUAUUGAUUCCUGAAUUCAUAUUGAGGAAAUUCUGUUGAUGUUCCUGAUGCAUGCAUAUAGGUCCAGAUGCUAUAUGUGCAAUAUAUGAUGAUGCCUAUGAUAAUAUCUGAAACAUAAACCUAUGUAGAUGUAAAUGCUGCAUGAUAUGAGCUGCAAUCAUGAUGGAGUCCCUUAUUCCUAUCGUUGAUGGCAUAUCAUAGUUAAGGCUAUGAUCUGUGUUGCUGUUUGAGAAUCUGGUGAAUUUGACAGUCAAUACUGAAGCCCAAGGUCAUAUUGAGGAGAAAUGUUUUACCAGUCUAACCGUUUUGAUGUCAUGAUGCAGCCUACCACUACAGAAGAGGUUUCUGUACAAGGUCCUACUGAUCAUCUGAAUAUGCAGAGUACUGGAUAUGCAUAAUACUUCCUGGCAAAAGUCAAGAUGGCAUAUUCCAGAUCAAUGCUGCCAUAAGCAGCAAGGUUAUGACUAAUACUUGCUGUCACUUUGGACCUGAUCGAUGACAUCAAUGAUCCCAACUGUCAAAGGAAGUAUAUUGAUGUCACUCAUCCAUGAUGCUACUGGUGAUCAUGUUGAAAUCCAAAGUCAGUGUUUUCAUGGAAGUAUUCCCCGAUGUGUGAGAUCUCUGAGACAGCAGAGUCUUUCGUGAAGUUCAUGAUCAGUAGUGAUGCCCAAGGUCAUAAUGAGGUAAGUGUUGUGUGCUGCUACAGGAGAUGCAUUGGAUGCCUGUGACUACCUGAAACAUGAAGUUAUUCUGAUGCCAGUGCUCCAGCUGUGACCAGCAAUCAUUAUGGAGUCCAUUAUUCCUAUUACUGAUUGAGACCCUGGUGAUUGCUAUGAUCUCAUUUGCUUCUGGAAAACUACCUGAAUGCCAAUGUCCAUACAGACAACUGAUGUCAUAUUGAGUGUUCUGAGAUGACACUGGAGAACAGAUUGAUGGCUGAGAUCCUAAGUGUCACAGGGAAUUCUGUUGAUGUUCCUGACAAAAACAUGUAGUCUGUGAUGUCUAUCAUGGAAUGUAUCUUGAUGCCUGUGAUCCUACCUUUAACAAGAAGCUAUGUUGAUAUCAGUGAUACAUUCUGUGACCAGCAAUCAUGAAGGAGUCCAUUAUUCCUAUUGGUGAUGGAGAUCCUGGAAUGGCUAUGAUCUACAUUUCUGCUUGAGAACCUGAUAAAUUCCAAGGUUCUUAUUGAUGCCUUCUAGCAUACUGAGCCAGCGUGAUAGAGGCCAUUGUUCCUAUUACAUAUGGAAAACCUAAUGAUGACUAGAAUCUGUGUUGCUUCUGGAGAAACUUCUGAAUUCCAAGGACCUUGGGACCAAUAUCAUCCAAGGUCAUAUUGAGGGUAAGUGUUGUUAGCUGACAAAACUAAUCUCUGAGAUCCUACCCACCACAGGGAAUUCUACUGAUGUUCCUGAUGCAUGCAUGUAGCUCCUGAUGUGAAAAAACAUUGUAUUUUGAUGCUUAUGAUCCUACCUGUAACAAGAAGUUGUGCUGAUACCAGUGCUGCAUGUGGUGACUAGAAAUCAUGAUGGUGUCCAUUAUUCCUAAUGCUGAUGGUGAUGGCUCUUAUUUGUGUUGCUGCUUGAGAAUCCAAUGAAUCCCAAGGUCCAUACUGAUGCCCAUGAUCAUUUUGAUGUAAAUAUUUUUAGCUGGUACUGGAGAUCCGAUUGUUAUCUAGAAGCCUACCCGAAACAGGAAAAUUGGUUGAUGUUCCUUAUACAUGUGUGUAGCCCCCCAUUUUAAACAUGUAAUAAAUAUUGAUGCCUGUGAUCCUGCCUGAAACAUGAAGCUGUUUUGAUGUCAGCACUGUUUGAUGACCAGCAAUCAUGAUGGAAUCUAUUAUUUCCAUUGCUAAUGGACACACUGGUGAUGGCUAUGAUCUAUGCUUUUGCUUGAGAACCCGAUGAAUCCAAAGGUCUGUAAUGAUGUGGUAGGUGAUAUUGAGGUAAGUGUUCUGAGCUAGCAAUGGAGAUCAUAUUGAUAUAUGAGAUCCUAUCUGCCACAGGAAAUUCUGUUGAGAUCACUGAUACAUGAAUGCAGCCCCUGAUUUUUGACCUUGUUACGUGCAAGAUCCUUACUGCUACCUGAAGUGAUAGUGAUAACAGUGAUCUAUCCUGCCACUAGGGAAGAGAUGUAUGAUUUGCCCUAUGAAUUGAUGAUGAUGUCACUGAUAUAUACCUGGCAACAUACACCAUGGUAUUGUCCAAGGUCCAUGCUGCCAUUGACAACCUGGUUGUCAGUAAUCCCUGCUGCACCUGCUUACCAUGUUAAUAUCACCAUUACCAAAUGCUUGUAGAAACUAUGAUGGUUUCAGUAGCCAUGUUUAAAAUCAUAGUCCAUGAUGCCUCUUAGGAUAUUUUUAAUGCAAAUGAUCCCUGGGGCUAGCAGAAUCUAAGGUAAUGUUUUAGGUCAAUACUGAUGUCUGAGAUCAUGUUGAGUCAUAUGUUCUGAGAUAUAUUAUGGUGAAGUCACAUAUAGUGUGGCAACAGACACGGUUGUCUGUUAUAUAUAUUUCAGUCUUCCAGCAGUCAUGUCCGUGAUCCCUGCUGCCUCUUGGGAACACAUUAAUAUCACUGUUUCUAACUGGCAAUGGCAUCGUCACUGAUGCCAAUUUUCUAAGAUUCUGCCCAAUUCAUGAGAAGGGUUCUUCUAGCUGUAACCAUUUUUAUGUCAUGUUGCAUUCUGUCACUAGACAAGAGGUUUCUGUACAUGGUCAUACCUGCCCUAUGAAACUGUCUUGAUAUCCCUGGCAACAGAUAUACCAUAGUAUAUUUCAGAUUCCUAUGCCCACAGUCAACCAGGCAGUGAAUAAUUGCUACUACCACUUUGGAACAAAUUGAUGACAUUCGUGAUCCCAACUGCCAAGGGAAAAAUAUUGAUGUCGUUCAUCUAUGCUGUCAUUUGUAUCCACAUUGUGAACCAUAAGUAGCAUGUUUGAAGAGGCCUUGAUGUCUGUGAUAACUCAACCAGAAUAAUCUGUUGUGAAUUUCAGUGUUAGUUCUGGUGCUAAAGGUCAUAAUGAGGCAAGUCCUGUGUGUUCCUACUGGAGACAUGUGAUGCUAGUGAUGCUAGUGAUGUUGAUGCUAGUGAUCAUGUGUGAAACCUGAAGCUGUGUUGAUGUCAGUGCUGCAUGCUAUAACCAGAAAUCAUGAUGGAGUCUAUUAUUGUGAUGGCUAUGAUCUGUGCUGCUUCUGGAGAACAUGCUAAAUUCUGAGGUCCAUACUGACACAUGAGGUCAUAGUGAGGUAAGUGUUCUUAUCUGGCACGUGAGAUCAGAUUGAUUUAUGAGAUCCAACUUGCCAUAGGAAAUUCUGUUCGUGUCCCUGAUGCAUACAUGUAGAACCUACUAUCAACCAUGAAACACACAAUAUCCUUACUACCACCAUAAGUGCUAGUUUUGUCAAUAAUAUAUCCUGUCACUGGAGAAGGGUUUGUGACCAUAAUUUCUUCUCUCCUGUGAAUCAGUGCUGAUGGCACUGAUAUAUACCUGGCAGCAGACACCAUGGUAUUGUCCAAGAUAAUUGAUGCCAAUGGCAAACUUAUUGUCAGUGAUCCUAGCUUCAUGGGGUACCAUGUUUAUGUCACUAAUGCAAAGAGGCUGCAGAGACUUUGAUUAUGUGAGUCAUACAUGCUGCCUCUAGUAGCCAUGUUGAAAUCCAUAGUCAGUGUUGGUGCUGAAGACAUUGUGGAUGUUAAGAAUCCCUGAGAUCAUCAGAAUCUACAAUGAAAUUCAGUCAAUAAUGCUGUCUUGGAUCAUGUUGAGUUACAUGUUCUGAGACAAGAUAUAUGUUGAGUAUGUAUUUAUAAAAGUCAGACACCACUGUGUGUCUAUAAUUCUUCUGGUCUCUAGUAGCCAAUAUGUCAUUGAGCCCUUAUGACAUUUGUGACCACAUUAAUAUGACUUUAUUAAUUGCCAACGGAAUCACUACUGAUGCUUAUUAUCUAUGCUUCUGCAGAAAAUCUAAGAAGUAUCUUGCAUUCAUAAGUAAUUUGAUGCAAUGAUUCACUCUACAACUAGAAAUAAGGUUUCUCUAUAUGGUCAUACCUGCACUUUGAAAGUAUUUUCAUGUCCUUUGUACUUCCUGGCAAUGGACACCAUGUUAUCUCACAGAUCCCUGCUGCCAUAGACAACCAGAUCAUGAGUGAUCCCUAUUCCCACUUUGGACCAAAUUGAUAACAUCUGUGAUCCCAACUACCAAGGGAAAUACUGACAUUACUGAUAAUAAUCCAUGUUGUCACUGAUAAUCAUGUUGACAUCCAUAAUCUGUGUGGUCAUUGCAAAUAGCAAUGUUAAGAAUCCCUGAGACCAUCAGAAUCUAUAAUGAAGUUCAGUCAAUAGUGCUGCCUUUGAUAAUGUUGAGUUACAUGUUCUGAGAUAUGUUAUGUUGAGGUCAUACAUAUAGUCACACCAGACACCACUGUAUGUCCAUGAUAUUUCAGGCCUCUAGUUAAAUCAACCAGAAGGAUCUAUUGUGAAUUCCACGGUAAUUCAAUCCCUGUCUAAAGUCAAAGUGAGGUAAGUGUUGUGUGCUGCUACUGGAGACAUGUUUGAUGUCUGUGAUCCUAACGGCAACCUGAAGCUAUGUUGAUGGCAAUGCUGAAUCAUGAUGGACUCCAGGAUUCCUAUUGCUGAUAGAGACCAUGGUUAUGGCUAGGAUCUCUGCUGCUAUUUAAGGACAUGUUAAUUCUAAGGUCUAUACUGACAGUUGAGGUGAUAUUGAGGUAUGUGUUCUGAGUUGGCACUAGAGAUCACAUUAAUAUCUGAGAUCCUGCCUGCUACAGGAAAUUCUGUUGAUGUCCCUGAUGCAUGCAUGAAUCCCCUGAUGUAAACCAUGAGUUCACUGAUAUAUACAUCAUUGGAAGAGACAGCACUGUAUGUCUAUAUUCUUUAAUGCCACAAGCAGCCAUAUUGUCAGUGAUUCUUUCCCCACUUGGGACCACAUUAAUAUGAAUGAUUCCAAUUGUCAUUGGAAUCUAUACUGAUGUGAGUGAUGCAUGCUUCUGUCACCUGUGAGAAUGUUCUUUAUGAGAAGUAUACUCGUAGCUAUAAUAAUUUUGAAGUCAAUGAUUCAUUCUGACACUAUAGAUAUUAUUACUUCUCAUGGUCCUCCCUGCCCUAUGAAACUACCAUGAUGUUCCUGAUACUUCCUGGCAAUUGACAUCAUAGUAUAUCCAAGAUUCCCUAAUGCUACAGGCAACCAGGAUUUUAAUGAUCCCUAUUGAUACUUUGGACUAAAUGUGAUAUCAAUUGUCCUAUUUGCUAAGAGAAAUAUAUUGAUUUUACUCACCUGUUUUACUGUUUAUAACCACAUUGAGAUCCAUAGUCAGUGCUGUUUCUAAAGACCUUCUUGAUGUCUAUGAUCAAUGUGGCCAGCGUGUCAAUUGUGAAGUUCAUGGUCACAACUGCUUCCAAAGAUCAUAAUGAGGAAGACCUUAUUGAUGACAAGGAUCUGUGCUGCUGCAUGAGAACAGGCUGAAUUCCAAGUUCUAUACUGAUGUGCAGGGUCAUAUUGAGACCUCAUUAUGAGUAAUAUCCUUUCUGCCACAAGAAGAAAUUUGAUAUAAUUGAUUCAUCCUGCUACUGGAGAAGAGACUUAUGUUCAUAAUUUCUUCUACCCUCUGAAUCAACACUGAUGUCAGUGAUACAAUUGUCAACAGAUAUCAUACUAUAUCUAUAGUCCCUGCUGCAAUAGCAAGCAUCAUAUUAAAUAUUUGUGCUGCCAUUUUGGACCAGGAUGAUAUCAGUUACCACAACUGCCAACAGAAAUAUAGUGAUGUCACUCAUCCAUGCUUCUACCUGUAAAUAUAUUACUAUCCAUAGAUGUUGCUGCCUCUGAAGAGCUUUGUGAUGUCUGUUAUCCAUGGUGCUAGAAGAGUCUGUCUUGAAGUUCAUGGUCGAUAAUACUGCCUAAGUCAUGUUGAUGUAUGUGUACUAUGCUGCCACCAGAGACGUGUUUUAUGACUGUGACCUGACUUGCCUCCUGAAGCAGUGUUGAUGUCAUGGCUGCAUACUGACAUCACUAAUUGUGAUGGUGUUUAUUGUUCCAGUGGCAGGUAGGACCUGCCCUAUGAAACUAACAUGUACCAAGGGAUAAAUGCAUGCAUUAAGGACAUGUACCAGUACAACAAAACACAGGAGUGUAUGAAAUGCCUUUUAUGCAUGCAUGAAGCCCCUGCUGACUAAUCAUAACUCUUUUGACUAUAUUAUGCAUAAGAUCCUCACUGAAAUCAGAAGAAUUGUUCAAGAUGUCAUUGAUCCAUCCUGACAAUGGAGAAGAUGUUUAUGUUAAUAUUCUCUCUUGCCCUCUGAAUCUAUACCAAUGUCCAUGAUAUGCUCAGAAACAGAUACAAUGGUAUUGCCCAAGAUAAAUGCUGCCACAGGUAACCUUGAUUUUAGUGAUCCCUGUUGCAAAUGAGUACAAUGUUAAUAUCACUAAUUCAAAGUGCCACCAGAAACUAUGCUGAUGUCCAUCAUCAAUGAUAACACCGGCAUCAAGGUUGAAUGCCAUAGUCCAUGUUGGUUCUGAAGAGACUGAUAAUGUAAAGGAAACCUGUUGCUACCAAAGUCUAUGGUGAAGUUCAUAGUCAAUAUUGCUAACUAAGGUUUUGUUGAGUUAACCUUUCUGUGAUAUGUUGAGGUCAGUGAUACAUUAAGGCAACAAACACCAUUGUAUGCCCAUGAAUUUUGAUGCAAUGAGCAGCUAUAAUGUCAGUGAUCACUGGUGACACAUGUGACCACAUUAAUCUGAGUGAUUCCAGCUGCCACCAGAACCUAUACUGAUGUCUGUGAUCCAUUUUUCUGCCAUCUGAGACUAUGUUAUAUAAUAAAUAUAUGCUGCCAGCUGUACCACAUUUUAUGUCAAGGAUCCAUCCUGCCAAUAGAAAUGAAGUUUCUGUUCAUAGUCUGAUCUGUCCUCUGAAACUGCAUCAAUGUUACUGAUACCUUCUAGAAGCAAACACUAUGGUGUAUCCUAGAUCACUGAGGCCUCUGGCCCACCAGCAACCAUGAUGAUGUCCAUUAUUCCUAUUGAGGUCCUACCUGCCACAGGAAACUAUGGUGAUGUCCCUGACGUAUGAUUGUAGUUGCUUUGUAGAGCAUGCCAUGUAUAAGAUCCUAACUGUCACCAGAAUAGUUAUUGAUAUAAAUUCUGCAACCUUAUAGAUACUUUCCAGCUGUAACUAUUUUGAUGUUGAGGAUCUAUGCUGGAACUAGAGAAGAGGUUUCAGUAUAUGAUCUGAACUUCCAGUGAAACUAUGAUGUCAAUGACAACUCCACAGUAACAAAAAUUACAGUAUAUCCCGGAUCCAUUCUGUCACAAGUUACAAGAUGUUAGUGAUCCCAGGUCCCGCUAUGGAUUGGGAUGAUUAUAUUAGCGAUCCCACUUUUCCAGUGGAAGCAAUGUUCAUGUCAGUGCUACCUGUUGUCAUCAGCAAACAAUAUGAUGUCCUUCAUUGCUAUUGAGAUUCUACCUGCUACAAGAAACUAUGGUGAGGUCCCUGAUGCGUGCAUUUAUCCCUUGCUACAGACUAUCAUGUAUACUACCACCAGAAGUGAUGUUUGUGUUAGUGAUCCAUCCUGUGACAUUAGAAGAGAUUUAUGCCAAUAGACUCUUUCCCUCUGAGUAUAUACUGACGUCACUGACAUACCUAGCAACAUAUAUGGUAGGAUAGCACAAGAUCCAUGCUGCUACAGGCAACCUCAUCAAUGUUCCCUGUUGCCACUGGAAAUUAUACAAUCAUCACCAAUCUAACCUGCCCUCAGAAAUUAUGUUGAUGUCCAUCAUCCAUGAUGCCAACAGUACCCAUGUUACACAUAGUCCAUGUUGCUUCUGAAGAGAAUGUUAAUAUUAAGGAGUUCUCCAGCCACCAGUGUCUAUUCUGAAGUUUAUAGUCAAUAUUGUUGCCUGAGGUCAUGUUGUGAAGUGUUCUGA
This 9962-nucleotide small RNA is filed under the name Rattus norvegicus (Norway rat). Its description in RNAcentral is "uncharacterized LOC102554698". Lineage: Eukaryota; Metazoa; Chordata; Mammalia; Rodentia; Muridae. The record is from RNAcentral.